GUUUUUCUGAGUUCUUCUUCACUCCCCCAGACCAUUAUUUAUAGUAAGCAUAAACGUAAUGUGCUCAGCUUUUUCAACUGUCAAGUAAGGGAUAUUCUAUCUCUUGGUAAGAACUGCAAAGGCAAAUGCUGUUUACAUCUGAAGAGUCCCAGUUCUUUAAAUUAGGAUUAUUAUCAAGCAUUCAAAGGAUAACAUGCUCUAAGAAGCUUAGGCAGAAAUGUAACGCUGCCUGGAAUGUUGAAAGCACUUGUUAAAAUGUGUGAGCAAGCUGUCUCCAAGGCAUAACAUCCAUCUUUUAUAUGCAGGCUGUUUGGUGUGAUGUUGAUUUUGCCCACUGCUAUAUUAAGGGCUCGCUGCAGUUUGAAGUGUGUGAUAUAGCUACGAUUAGCUACAGUGAAAAAAUGCAUCCAAAUGUGUCAUCUGAGCUGCUGCAGUCCUGCUACGAUGAGGUCAGUGGAAAAGAUGGACCCUGAAUAUAUGCAAACCAUCUGUACUUGGAUUUGUGAAUGAAGGAGAUGUUUAUCUGUGUAUAAAGAAGGCAUCCAGUAAAAAGACAGUUCUUUUAAGGAGAGGGAUGUAAUUUUAGCACAGUUGCCACAGAAAUGCCCAGGACUGAAUUCAGCCAUGGCUGUGCUGGGAGAUGUCUUGCUGGAUUUAAUGCUGUUACGGGAGCCACGUGAAGAAAGCCUGGCAGGCUUCUGCUAAUUGCAUCUGCAGAAGGUGAGACAAAUAGCAAUGAAUACAAGCACCCAUUAAGUGCAG
Gallus gallus (chicken) is the source of this 762-nucleotide long non-coding RNA. The record is from Ensembl. NCBI's taxonomy places the organism in Eukaryota, Metazoa, Chordata, Aves, Galliformes, Phasianidae.